CCUACGGGGGGCUGCAGUGAGGAAUAUUGGUCAAUGGGCGGGAGCCUGAACCAGCCAAGUCGCGUGAGGGAAGACGGUCCUAUGGAUUGUAAACCUCUUUAGGCGGGGAGCAAUGCCGGGCACGCGUGCCCGGAGGGAGAGUACCCGCAGAAUAAGCAUCGGCUAACUCCGUGCCAGCAGCCGCGGUAUUACGGAGGAUGCGAGCGUUAUCCGGAUUUAUGGGGUUUAAAGGGUGCGUAGGCGGAUUUUUAAGUCAGCGGUAAAAUGUCCGGGCUCAACCCGGGCCGGCCGUUGAAACUGGGGAUCUUGAGUGGGCGAGAAGUAUGCGGAAGGCGUGGUGUAGCGGUGAAAUGCAUAGAUAUCACGCAGAACUCCGAUUGCGAAGGCAGCAUACCGGCGCCCGACUGACGCUGAGGCACGAAAGCGUGGGGAUCGAACAGGAUUAGAUACCCCUGUAGUC
RNAcentral lists this ribosomal RNA (460 nucleotides) under uncultured bacterium. RNAcentral describes it as "partial 16S ribosomal RNA". It matches the Rfam family "Bacterial small subunit ribosomal RNA", at positions 338 to 795 of the family's 1533-position model. The record is from RNAcentral.